AAUCACUUGAGGCCCUUGUUAAAGGGUCCUGUUGCCACACUGUAGCACAGUUCUGGGCCACUCUCCUAAAUGAGACCGGACAACCCAGGCAAGUGGCACUGUAGAGUUGUUUGGAGGAGCGUGGAGCCAGGAGAAGUAGGAGCCAGGAGAAGAGGCGUCCUGCUGUGCCUUCUCCCAAAGAUGAAGCUAUAAAUGAAGAAAUGCAGAUGGAGCAUGGACAGAAACACUGACAGAGAUCCACAGAAGCAACUGGACCAGAAGGCUAUGGAUGCGCUUGCCCGAAAUCCACACGAUGGGUUGCUGGUUACAAACAUUAACCAGACCCAGGACCUACUGAAGCUGCAGGCAAGUGAGACUCUGGAAGACUCUGAAGACUGGCUUUCAACUCACAGUUUAAAGUUUGAGAAACUCACCUUGGCUGACCUGAUAAGCCAGGGCACGGUUGAGCUGGAGGAGUGUGGCAAUGCCAUGCCCAAAGUGCAUUUCUCCGCCCAGACCGUCCGCCGCUUUGAAUCAAGGCUUUCUGACACUAUCGAACUCUAUCAGCAGAGGAUGCGCUGGCUCACAGAGAACAGCAGGAAGGCAUUUGGCCUCAUCAAGGGAACAAGAGUGGGACUCCUCAUUGAUGCGUCCCAGGUCAGCAGUGGCCCUCAGCAAGAAGAAUUCCAAAAUGACCUGGCAAGUCUCAUUGACGAGCAACUGAGCCUCAAGGAGAAGUUGUAUGUCCUGUCCUUCGGCGUCACCACCAAACCCCUCUGGCUGGACCCCGUGGAAGUCAGCGCGUCCACCCUCGAGGAACUGAAGCUCUGGGUAAAGAAGCUGCAGCCUGAGGGAAGCUGCAAUCUGCUACAAGCCUUGAAGAAAGUCUUUGCUCACAAGGAGCUGAAUUCUCUGGUGACCAUAUUGAGAAGCUGUCCAGAUCAGCCUUCUGAAUUCCUGUCUGACUACAUCCAGCAGUCCACCAUAGGACGGGACCUCGUCAUUCAUGUGACCACCUACAAAUGCAAUGAUCAUGUGCCCUCCGCUGUUCUGAAGAACCUCACAGACGCGCUUCGGGGCUACCACCACUGCUACAGCUCAGAGUCAGAGCUCUAUACCAGCAGGGAUGUGGAUGAGCUCCUAGCAGAAACCCAGAAGGCGCAAGACCUCCUCAGCCAGGUGCGAGCCCUGGGCCAGAGCAGCCCAUGUGAGGAGCUGGCCUGCAUGAUCCAGAAAAUCUCUACAGAGAUUGUGAAAGGCCCAUUCACAAGUCUCUUGCCUAAACCUCCAAAGCAUGAAGCUCCGCUCACAAUCGAGUUCCCAGACUUGGACAAGACUUCUGCAGAAUGGCUGAAAGUCAAUGGUCUAAAAGCCAAGAAGUUAAGCCUUUAUCAGAUUCUGGCACCAAACGCCUUCAGUACUGUGGAAGAAUUUGUGCCUAUUCUCCAGAAAACAGUGUCAGCUACUAUCCAUGAGAAAGCAAUGAUACAGUUUGAAUGGCAUGAUGGGACAGUGAAGAAUAUCCAUGUCGAACCACCCUUCCUCUAUGAGUACCAGAAGCAGCUUGGGCAAGCUGUACAGAUGUACGAGAAGCGACUUGAGUGGCUCUCCCUGGCCAGCAGGAGAAUCUGGGGCACUGUCUGCGAAAGGAGGGUUGUUAUACUGCUGGAUGUCUCGGUGACCAAUUCCAUGUACAUUAUUCAUAUCCAGCACUCCCUGCGAAUGCUGCUAGAGGAGCAGCUGUCCAACAAAGACCACUUCAACAUCAUCGCGUUUGGAAGUACAAUUGAGAGCUGGAGGCCUGAGAUGGUUCCUGUGAGCCAUGACAACUUACAGAACGCCUGGCGGUGGGCUCUGGGCCUCCGGUGUCAAGGAAGCAGAAAUGUCCUCAGCGCCCUGCGGAAGGCCAUAGAAGUGGACUUCAAGGACAAAGACAAACAUGAGUCUCAGGGCAUCUACCUCUUCACAGGGGGUGUUCCUGACCAAGAUGUGUCCACGCUCAGCGCCUAUGUGGCAGAGGCCUGUGGAGGUUGCGACCUCCGUCUGAACGUUUGUCUGUUCUACGUGGGUGAACCACAACUGGACACCACGCCCCCCGCCUGCUAUGCCAGCCGUACGGACACAGCUACCGCCUACAAAGAGAUCACCCGGGCUGCCCGAGGUCGCCUCCACUGGUUUGGAGAAACAGGUAUUUAUGAGAGUGAUGACAUCAGUGCCAUCAUAUCCGAGAUAGAAAAAGCCCUCACCUACUCCCAAAAGUGUGCCCUCCUCGUGGCCUCCCUGAAGAACCAUUCAGGAAAAGAACUGCAAAGUGCAGCCCUUCAGAAAGACAAGCCAAGGAUGCUCAAGCAAAGUCCGUCCAAGAAUCUCUGUCCUCCCAAGCCCACAGCCCCCUCGGUGGCCAGAAUGAAAAUUAAAGAUGACCUGAAUGGAGACAAGAGCCCCCAGCUAAAAGCUCUGAAGUGUCAUCCCCUCAGUGGCAAAGCAAGCAUCUCUUCAGCUGCAGUCCAUCCUGGGAAAGAGGGGAUGAUGGAACAGAGGAGGAAGGCCAAGCCCGGGGCAGAAGAUACAGCUCUCUCUGUGUUCUGCACAGACUCGGGGAAUAGUGUGGGUUCUAUGUCCAAGAGGUACCCUCAAGGGAAGUUUAUUAGAAGGGCUAACUCUUGUAUUGAGCUGCCCAGGAAGGAUGCUGUUUGCUCAAGUCGAGAGUGGAUAGCCACCUGCGGGCUGAAGAAACUGAAGCUGGAGCUCUCCAGAUGCCUCGGGCCCCACUGUGGAAGUCAGAGGUCAGCACGCAGGGCAGCCAAGCACUGCACUCUCUUCCCCAGUGUAGAGAUCAAUGGAGUGGUUAAGCACAUCCGGUGGACGCUGCGGGAGAUGGAGGAGUACAUCACGUGCAUGGAGAAGGUGAUGAGGUGCUAUGUGAAAAGGCUGCAGUGGCUGCUGUCUGGAAGCCGCAGGCUGUUUGGCACCAUCUUGGAAAGCAAUGUGUGCAUCGUGCUGGACACGUCAGGCUCCAUGGGCCCCCACUUGCAGCAGAUGAAGACAGAGAUGAUUCUGCUGAUUUGGGAGCAGCUGAGGAAGCACUGUGACAGUUUUAACCUGCUUAGCUUUGCCAAGGACCUGAAGCCAUGGCAGAACACUCUGGUGGAGACCACAGAAUCAGCGUGUCACGAGGCUAUGCAGUGGGUGACGCACUUACAAGCCCAGGGGAACACUUCAUUCUUAUCCGCUUUAAUGAAAGCCUUCAGCUUUCAGGAUAUGCAAGGCCUGUACCUCCUAACUGACGGGAAACCAGACACAAGCUGCAGCCUUAUUCUCGACACUGUGCAAAGGCUCUUGAAGGGGAGAGACGUCAAAGUGCAUACUAUCUCCCUGACGAGCACAGACAGAGCAGCAGUUGAGUUCCUGAAGAAGCUGGCUUCCCUCAGUAGAGGACGUUACCACUGUCCUGUGGGUGAGGACACCCUCAGCAGUAUUCAUGGCUUGCUCACCAGAGGCUUCAUCAAGGAAGGGGAUCCCAAGUUGCCACUGUUUGAAGGGGAUGACUUAAAGAUACUGGCCCAGGAGGUCAACAAGGCUAGAAGCCUCCUUAAGCAAGCCCAGGUCUUCAGAUCCCAGCUCCUGAAGAAAAAUAACGCGGAACCAAAGGUCAUUCUUUGCUAGAGACAUGUUCUCAGGCACAGCUCAGAUGGCAUCGAUUCCACUGUGAAGAUGUCCCUGGUACACAUCCAGAGCUAAGGACCUCCAGGCACAUCUGGAUGCUUCUGGCCUUCCUCCUCUUCUGGCUUUCCCGACCAGCUAUGCCUCUUGGGGCAUUCAGCACUGUAGACUGUGAUGUCCUGCUCAAUGUCCUAACUCUUUUUGACCACAGUUCCCUCCCCGAAAGAAGCUACUGUCUUAACUGUCCAUGGAUUCCCCGAACCUGCCACAUGGCAGUCACAUGAACAGUGGAAAGGAACUCGACAGCCUCCCCUAUUGUGGAAAUACAAAUUAAAGUCACAGUGAAACGCAGCUACAGACUCAGAAGAAUGGCUCGACACAAGGUGACCGUGCACAUCAAGACACCAGAGUGACGAGAACGCUCCUGCUGCUGGGAUGCGGCUCAGGGAAAGAAAAUGUGAAUUUUCACCACUUUGAAAAUGUGGCAGUUUCUAUUAAAGCAAAAGACAUCCGUUGUGUGACCCAACAAUCCCUCUCUAGGGGAAAUGAGUGUGUAGAUGCAAGAAUGUGUACAAUAGCUUUAUUUGUAAAAGCCCCAAAUUGGAAACCACCCAAUGUCCAACCAUGGUACAAUAUACAAACAAAUCAUGACAUUUAUAUUUUGCCAAACUAUGAGUCAAUGUGAAGAGCAUGAAAUAUAGUUACUACGUUCACUAAGAUGUAUCAAACUCAUAAACAAUGGAUACACAAAAAACCUAAAAUAAGCUGGAGAUGUGGCUGGGUUGGUUGCCUGGCAUGCAGGAAGUUUUGGGUUCUUGAUGUCCUAACCUGCAUAAAAAGGAGGUAUGGAGGCAGGAGGCUCAGGAAUUCAAGGUCAUCCUUGGCUAUAGCAAGUUCAAGGCCAGUCUGGGCUAUAUAAGAAUCUUCCUUAAGAAAAGAGAGAGAGAAAGAAAAGGAAGAGAAAAGAAAAAGGAACCAGACCUAAGAGUAUAUGCUCACAACUCUAUAUGAAAUUCAAGAACAGGUAAUAUUUGUCACUGAGACAGAAAUCACAAUGCUCUGAGGAGUGCAGAGUGAGCGUUGGGCGCUGGGGGAUUAAAAUGCUUUGUCUUCAUCUGAGUUGUAUUUCAUUAGGACGCUGCUGUGGUUCAGCUAAGAUUUGAACAUGCCCUUCAAACAUUUGCACGUUUAAAUAUGUUGUGGUAUUCAGAGAUGGGG
Non-coding RNA from Peromyscus maniculatus bairdii (prairie deer mouse), 4860 nucleotides. Lineage: Eukaryota; Metazoa; Chordata; Mammalia; Rodentia; Cricetidae. The record is from RefSeq and is a predicted model, not a curated record.